AUCAAGGGUAUCUGUUUCCCCCUCCGCCAUAUAGUUUGGAAAGACGUAAAAGGACAACUCCCUGUGGAUGACGGCAUAUCUUCUGACGAGAGUGGUGACGCAAAUAUCUGUUAGGGGUCACCUUUGGCUAAGUAGUAUCAUGACUAUAGAAUAUCUUAUAGGACCAGUAGGGUCAGUAUGGCCAUGAUCAUAAUCGUACCAUAGUUUGGCAAACAAAAAAUGUGCUUGAGAA
This 232-nucleotide long non-coding RNA is filed under the name Carica papaya (papaya). Its description in RNAcentral is "long non-coding RNA (CPAP_LNC013132)". The record is from RNAcentral. Lineage: Eukaryota; Viridiplantae; Streptophyta; Magnoliopsida; Brassicales; Caricaceae.